CAUAAGGAAAGAAAGAGGGAGAGAGGGAGGGGAGUGGGGAAGGAUGGAAGGAAGGGAGGAAGGAUUUUUAUUGCUACUUGUGUAACCUUGUAUUAAGAACAAACAAGAAAAUUUAUACUUGAAUUUGAAUCUGGUAAAUCAGGACUUCCUUUUCUUAUGCAUCAAGACUGCCCUUUGAUUCUUUAAAUCCCAAUAAAACAAAAUAUUGAUAUCAAGAGAUUGAAGAGAUAGUAUGGUGCCCUUGUUGAGUAUAUGGGCUCUGGAAGCAGACUGCCUGAGUUUGAAUCCCGGCCCUUACUUAUUAGCUGUGUGAUAUUGGACAAGUUACUUAGCUUUCUGUGCCUCAGUUUCUUCAACAGUAAAAGGGGGUGUCAAUAGUAUCUACCUUGCAGGGUUGUUGUGAGCAUAAAACACACUACUGUGGAUGUCGCUUUAGAAUCGUAUUUGACGUGGUGAUGACCUAACCAAGGUUGGCUGUGGUUAUGGGUGUGUAAGGGAAUGAUUCCUUGCCAUGCCAGUUUUUCACUCACACAAACUUCUAACCCUCAGGUAGGCAUCUACUUCACUUCAGGACCCCACAGGUGGCUUGUUCACCCAGCAGAGGUGGCAGAGGGCCAAGGAUUUUCCCACAGGCUACAGUGAGUUCUGUGAAUGUGGUUGGUUGGGCCAGGAAGUGGGGAGGCUUCUGUGCCUUUUAUUGGUUUGCUUGGGGAAGACUGACUCUGUGGAGGCGUCCAGGUCCAAUCUUAUUUUAUAGUUCUGGGAUAUUGAUAGACAAACUCCUUCCUCAACUGUAUGAUCUCUAAGUCCAGAGGGUAUCUGCUAGGGAAGACAGGUGAUCAGUGAAUGCUUUGUUCAGAACAGUUUCCCAGGCUGGGCUUGGGCAGAGAACCCUGGACUGCAGGGGGUUUCACCUAAGGUUCUUGGUCCUGUUCUCUGACUGCUUCCUGGGGAUAAGGUGGCACUGCAGGGUGUCAGGUGUUCCACAGAGAAUUUUCCAGGGGUUUCCCAUUCCAAUUUUAAGGGGCCAGAUGCAUGUCAGGGUUGGCGGUAUGAAGACUGAAGGUGAGAACUGGCAAGAGGGGAUGGCCAGAACCUCCAGCUGGGCAGGUCACACCACCCUGACAUGCUACUGUAGGAGGUUCCCAUGGGUCCACCAGUUUGUCCAGUGUGGCAUGUUAUCUGUUCCUGCAAGGACUUGCUAUUUGCUUUGCAAAACCAAAUUCUCAGACUGAAGUCAGUGGUACAAACAGUGCCCACCAUGGAGGCUGAAGAGAAAAGGAGGAGAGUGAGACUUGUUGUCAGAAGAGGGACUUCCAUUUGAGCAGGAAGUGGAGAAGGAGGCUGGGCAUGUCAGGGAUAUGAGUGUGUACUGGGGAAGUGAGGAGACCAGGUUUUGGGAGUGGUAAAUGGCAUGUGGAUCUUGGACGAGGAGGGUCUGCCUGGAGCAAGCCCAUUGGGAUAGUUUUGACUUGAUUCCCUGGGAAACAGCAUGGAUCACCUGGGGAGGAGUUCACAAGGAAGGGCUUGUCUUCUGGCUGAGCCUGGCUGGGAACCUUUCCCAACAGUGUCAAGGGUAGUCAGAGUGCGGUCUAUAGCAUCAUGUGCAAAGGUGAACACAUAUAACUCACAGGUGUGACCAGGUGUGCUUGCACAAGAUGAUUAUCUCUGCUGAGUUUUCCAGCCUCUUAAUCCUUCUAGCUUUGAGCAUGUGAUCUAGGGUUUACAUAGACAUGACUUUAUAAGACUUAACGGGACCACAGGGUGCCAUGAUGUCAGAAGGAGAAACCAAGGGACUGGGAUUGUGACCCUGUGCUAGAGUGUUUGCCUAGCACGUGUGAGCCACUGGGCUCCAUCCUCAGCACCACAUAAAAAUAAGUAAAUAAAAUAAAGUUAUCGUGUCCAUCUAUGGGUUCAAAACAUUAAUUUUUUUUUAAAAACAAGGAGAAACCGAGGCACUAUAUUCUAAAGAACCUGGUUCUAGGAACUGCCCUUAAAUCACCAUGGAGUGAGACUUUGGGUAGGAGCUGCUUGGGCUCCUUCAUUCAGCAAUCUGGCUUCUAACAUUGGUUCUUUCCCAUCUCUUAUAAAGACGGGGGUGGGGGGAGGGUUACCUAAGAAAGGAUAUUUGGACAAACAACCAUUUUAAUUACUUCUCGUUGGUGCAGGUUGGUGGAGGCGGGAUGGGAAGAAGAGGGUUGCUCCUGGGGUUUCCAGUCACCCGAGUACUCCUUUAGACCAUCAAUGAGGGAGUGAGAGGACUCAAACGACUAAGAAAGAUGCAUAAUCCUUCACCAUGUGGGAAAGAGGCAGAAGGAAGAAGAAGACUUAAACUUGAGAGGGGGUGACCAAACCUGGUGGAGGCUCACAAUGCCCGUGAUACCCCAGUGCAUGCACGCUCCUCUGAUAGGAGUGCCUUUGGUUAAGAGGGCAGAGUGCAGGGCCAUGAAUCGCAAGGUCACCUCCCUAUAGUACUGACCAUCUGAGUUCCUCCUCUCCCCUCUGGGAGCUGCCCCCAUCACCCCUUGCCCCAUGAGUGACCGUCUCACUCCCAAAUGCCUUUUGUUCUUUCUCCCUUGGGCUGUGAGAAGGGCAAAAUGCCCAACCAGGAGACAGACAUGGAUAUGUGUGGUUGUGUGUGCAUGUGUGCGUGUGUGUAUGUAUAGGGCCUGGGGCUAUACACAGGUCAAAGCACAGGAGUAAGAGCUUCUGGGAGGUGAGGCUGCCCUUCAGUCAGCUCUACCCUGGAGCCCAGAGGACUCUUCGCUCAGCCCCAUCAACAGCUUGCAACAGCCUGAGCCGCCAGAGCAGCUUCAGUCACUGACCGGAGGAGCCCGGGAGAAGCCGCAUGAGUGCUCAUGAUGCCAGGACCCUGGAAAGUUCUGGAAUAAAAAUACAUGGGCCUUGGGCAAUGGAGGUGAUGGUGGGCUCCCGCCUCAUGACCCAAUGGGACUCUGUGGAGCUGACAAAAUCCUUUACUUCCUACAACUUGAGCCUGGUGCUUUCUUCACGGUAUAUUCUAUGAGCACUGCAAGGCACAGAGCCUAGUGACUUUAGCAGGAAGUGGUAGAAGCAGAAUUCAAACCCACUGCAGAGCUUGCAUCUUCCACCCCAGGGCUCCCCCAGUUGGUGAGCCAGCAGGGAGGGGACAGUGGCCCAGUCUGAAGAAGCUGGUCCUGACAGCUACCCUCCUUCACCUUCUCUCCUGAACUUUCUUUAUUGGCUCAUCUUCAGCCCAUCCUCCACACUACCAACAGAAAAUCCACUCCAAACACCAAAAGGAUCUUACACUGCCUGCUGGGGACUCUGAUGGCUUCCAUUCAGCCAAGGCUGCGACUGAACUUCCAGGAUGGGCGCAUGAAGACUUCGUGGUCCUCUUUGGCUUCGGCCUCCCUCCCGCUCCCUGUCAUCAGGCCUCAUCUAACACCAUUCACCAGCCUCCCCCACACAGCUGUGUGUGGUCAGGCCCCAGACCUGGGCUCAUUACUGUCUUUCUUCCAGUCUGCAGUCUGCGUUGCCCUUCUCCCCUGACCCCCUGACAAAUGCUCACACAUCCUUUAGACUCAGGGCAGUUAAGCCUUUCUCUUCCUCUCCCAGGCCUGGCUGUUUGUUUCCUUUCUUAGGUUUCCACACUCUUGCUACAGGCCUCUAUCCUCAGCAGCGGAGCUGAGACUGGAUCCCACUCUACCAGCUGCUAAGCUCUGGUCGGUGACUCUCUUCCCAAGUCCACGUUCAGGGAUGCCAUGCUAAAUAGCUCGAAGUCAGCCCCAGUGGUGGUAUUUACACCGUAGACAUUCACAGACACCACAACUCAGCCCUUCUCCCACCCCCACAGCCUAUGGAGUAGGCACGACCCGCGCCUAAUUCCCUGACUGGCAUAUUGUCUCCUCCCAAACUACAAGUGCGCCAAAGGAAGGGCUGUGUCUUACUCGUUUUUUAAAGACAGGCCCAGCAGGAUGUCUGGGCUCAAGUGAGAAGUACUGAUAACUUGCCAGACAGGAGACUUUCCCUGGAGGACUUGUCACUUAGUUGUGGUGACAGUACAUUCAGCUGCCCCCCUCAUCCUUUGAAAACUGCCCUAACCCUAACCCAAUGUCAACUUCCCCCUCAGAAGCCCUCAAGAGCUGCCUCUGUCUGUAUGACUGGAAUGCAAAGCCCCUGGAGGCAGGGAUUUUUGUCUGCCUUGUUUUGACCCUGUGAAUGGUGCUCAGCAUGGAGAAGUGAUUAGUGCCACACUGUCAGAUCCAUCAAUAAGUGAUAAAAUCCAAGCCCCUUAAUAGAACCUUCAAGGCCCUUCACUGGACUGCUCUACUCUCCCUCAGCUGCUGUAGUCACUUCCCCUGGGUAAGAAUCUCCACUAGAGUUCCAGUUAUCCUCUCGCCAGCCCACAGGGUUAGGACCUGAUUCCAAGCACCACCAUGAAACUGCCUCUCCUUCCCCUCCAUUUGCCAAAGGCCUCUUCACUCUCCAGUCUCUACUGACUUUCAAAACAUGCUCUGUCUUCUGUGGCAACAGCCUUAAAGAUUACGAUUGCUUUCUCUGUCCUUCAUGGGGCUCUGACCUCCUUGAGGGCAGAGCAGAUAUGUGGAUGGCCUUGGGUUCAUCCAGGCCCUUCAGCACCUAACUUAGGGUCCUACGUGCAAUAGGUACACAGAGUGAUCCAUAUUUGUGGUCUAUAUUUGCUCACAUUAAAAAAAAAAAUAGAGACUACCAAGAUGUGUGCAAAUCCUAGCCUCUGAUCUAUCCACUCCAGGGAAUAGUAUGGGUUAGCAAAAUCUUAACUACUGUCACUCGGGGUUGGAGGUGGAUGGUGCCGUGGGGAACAUGACCAAAUCUGGAAUUAGCCUCACUGGCCCAGGUGUCAGUCUCGUGGUGGAGUGACCCCCUGACUUGAUAGUUCCCUUUUCCUUUUCCUUCCAGCUCACAGCUGCCUUGAUCCUAGCUGAAUGUAGCUUCUUCUGCCAGCCAGUGAACUACAACCAAGCAAGCUCAGGGUGAGGGUACAGUAGAAAGUGGGACAAUUAAGGUUGAAGAGAGAGGGUUGGUGGGAAGCCCUUCAUAUAACAACUGGAACUGGACCAAGGCAGAGUCACCAAGCUUUCUGACAGGAGGCUGGGAACUGGUUGGUUAAGAAAAGGCUUUGGAAUUAGAGGACCACAGGCCUCAGUUUGGACCUCAGAUCUGCCAGUUACUGACCAUAUGACACACCUUUUCUGGAUCUCAAUUUUCUUAUCUAUAUAAUGGGGAUAACAACACUUAACUUUAUAAAGGGAAACUUGAAGAAAAGAUUGAAUUAGACAAUGUAUGAGUGUAUAGUGCUGUGACAAGCACAUAUUACUGGUCUCUAAGUGGUAGUUAUUUCAUUAUUGCUAGCUGUUCUCUGUUUCAACUGGGAGCAGAACAAAAGGCUUCCUGGCAGCAAGAAAGCUAAGCUUUGACAGGUCGCCGAGUAGUGAUAUGGAUGUUGAGUCACUGGAGUUCCAGCAAUGAGCUAAAAGUCUUACCAACUCAAAAUAUGGUCCACGAACCAGUAGCAUCAGCAUCACUGGGAGCUUGUUCAAAACGCAAAAUCUGUACUCCACCUCAUGCCGCAAGCACACCGAUUAAAAAUCUGCUUUCCAAUAAACAAGAUAUCUCACUUGCUUAGGAUUGGACUGAGCACUUUGGAGAGUCCUGUGACCACUCCAGUAACUUUGCCCACUUCUUCCUGGGCUAACAAGUGUUUAACUACAGACGGGCAGGUAGGCACCUUGGGAACAGGAAGUGUGCAGGAACAGUGAGGGCUGAAUCCUGCCCUGCGCGGCAAGCUGUGCCACCAGCACGACUGCAGUCUGACUGAACUUCCCCUUCCUGCCCAGCAGAUGGCGAGCGUGUGCUGGUGGUACUGCUCAAAGUCUGCUGAGUCUCUAAGUAAGGUGAGAUUCUCCAAGCUUUGGCUCCCUUACAGUUCUAUCAGCCAGGUCUGGGGUGGUGUUUCACCCGCCCAGUGUGAAUGCUUUCCUCCAGCAUCCCUGUUGGAUGUAAAGCCUUGGUUCCAAAACCUGACUGAGGAAGGAUGCUCAGGUACUGAGGCAGCAUAUCACUGCUACAGACUCCCAUGAGUCCCCACUGUUCAUCUAUGCACCUGCAUGAAAGUAGUCAUAUGUCCUCAAUAGCAACCAGGUUCUAGGUUAAAUUAAAAUCUAAAAAAUGAGAAAUUUUUCAAAAGUGAUAUUCUAUGGUGAGGGUCAUCAGACAGCAAAAGCCAUCCUUACAUGUUAACGAGAGAAAGGAACCCUGUGUGUCAAUCCAAAGGGUUUGCCGGACCUAGUAGGUCAAGAUCAUAAUGGGGGAUAGUGGUGAUGAAAAGGUGUCCAGUCCUCUGUCCACUGCCCUGGGUGGCAGGUAGGAUGUUGGAAAAAGUCCAGUCUCAGAAACCCACUGCUCCAAUCCGAUUUUGGCCACCUAUUAGUUGUGUGCCAUUAGGCAAAUUACUUAACCUUCAGUGCCUCAGUUUCCCCACUUGCAAAGGGGAUAUAAAGGGAGUAUAAAUUGCAUAUUUUUAUGUAGCAUUUAAAUGGUUUUUGAUAUAUGUAAAGUACCUGGCACAUAGUAGGUGCUAAACAGGUGUUUGAUUAUUGUUUCCCUUUAAUUUUAAUCCCUCCUUCAGAAAAGCAGGCAGAAUCAUUACCCUGUCCUUUAUUUUUCUUUUCUUUCUUUAUUUCUAUUUUUUGGGGGGCUAUAUUGAGGAUUGAACUCAGGGUCCCACACACACUAAGCGAACACUAUAUCGGCAGGAUACCCUGAAGGAAUACCUGAGGUCCCCAGAGAAGACACCAGAGAAAGUCUCGAGAAUUGACACCCUAUUUUGUUCCUCUCCAGAUUUUCUUUAUAUUACAGAAGAAGCCAGAUUCACUUGCUUACCUUCUACUGGUGGGCUGGAGUCAAAUAUGUGCCAGGUGGUUCAAAUUGUUGACACAACCCUAUGCAGGUCUUUGUGGGGCGGGUCUCUGAUGGGCUGUGUGCCAGUUUGGGAGUACAGACUAUGACAUUUUGCCUCUGAGGUGUCCCUUCCCUGAGGCCAUGAGGCCAGAGCACUGCUCCCUUUCUGCCUCUAUGGCUCCUCAGAGCCUUCUAGAUGCUCCUCCCUGGGGUGGUGCAGGCAGCUGCUGGGAGAUGCUCAUCCCACAGCCCAGAGUGGACUUAGGGAGGUAUAAAAAUCCGGUUUCCCUGGGCCUCCAUCGUCACUUCAGAUGGCUCAGGCCUGACCUCCUCCAUGUGAGAACUUCUCAAGGAUUUUCUCUACAGGGUUUGCAGGAGUGAUCUCAGGAGACUUGAGGAUGGGAACAUGGAAGAGGAAACCCUAACCACCACUGGGCCCAGCUCCACUUACUUUCCUCCACCUACCCACCCUACACUGCAGCUUUCUCCAUCAGGAUGCUUCAUUCUUUGGCCCACAUCUUCAUGCAACUGUACUGAGGACUGGCCAGCCUGGGGCCUCACGUGUGGCCCUCCCAUGUGGAAAUGACAUUCUGCCAUCUGUUGAGAAGACUCCCAAGUCUCCAAAGGCCUAAGCUGAGCCCAGCUCUAUUUUUGACUACACCAGUGACUUGGUAUCUGACCUUGAACAUCUAAUCCCUGAAUCUAAUCCCUGGAUCUUCUUUAGUCUCCCAAUUUGCAAGUGCCUCAGUGGCCUUGCAACCCUAACUCAGUGAAAUGAUGUGGAACUUCGAGCAAGUGACUUCCAUGCUCUGGCCUCAACCUCAUCACCUAUAGAAUGCAGGGCUCAGCUAGAUGACCUCAAAGCAGUAAUAUCCUGUGAGUCUGUGAACAUGCAUUGGUCACAUGUGCUGGGGUGCCCUGAUGGUGGUGACAACCCAAGGUAUCCUUCAGGGGAUUGGGAUGGACCAGGUUCAUCAUCAGCACCAGUAAUGACAUGGCUAUAUGGGAGUAAAUGGGGAACCAGACCAGUAGAAGGGUCAGGAAGAUUCCAAGUGGAACUGUGGACUGGGCUUCAUCAUUCUUCCUAAGCUGUUGGCUGCCUGCCCUCUGCUGAGACAGAGGCCCAAGACAAGAGGGACCAAGCACAGGUAUAUUCUCAUUCCUCAGUCCUGCUUCUCCCCUCCCUUUCCUCCCAUGCUUUCUUUUGUCCACGAUUAGUUUGUGGUCAUGGCUGCCCAAUCCUCCUACAAUCUCUUUACCAAGUGUCCAUUACCCCAGGGGUUCAACACUCUUGUCCUUACAAGCUGGCCUCAUCAAGCCUUUUCUCAACUUCUAUCACCAGACAUACCUGAGGGACAAGCAGGAGAAGCUGACUUAAAGAGCAGGACUGAGCACUAAAACUAGUGGAGCUGUCCCUAGACAGAAGACAGUACGGCUCCAAGCCCACCUGUGCUGAGCAAAUCCCUCUAGGAAUAUAUUUCAUCCAGUGAGGGAAGGAGAAAAAUUGCCUCCUUUUCAGAGAGCAGGAAGAAAUGGGUACCAGCAUCCUGUACUCAGUUCUGUGAAAACACUUCUCACCUGGACUUAUAACUGUCUGUGCAUCUCCUUCCCCUACUUGAUCUAAGCCCCUCAUGGCAGGGAUUGUCUUAUUUCCAGUGUUCCCCACACCUGGCAUGGAGUCUCAAUAAAUGUAUCUUUUGACCCUUGGA
Long non-coding RNA from Sciurus carolinensis (gray squirrel), 8630 nucleotides. RefSeq lists it as uncharacterized. The record is from RefSeq and is a predicted model, not a curated record. The transcript has 4 exons. NCBI's taxonomy places the organism in Eukaryota, Metazoa, Chordata, Mammalia, Rodentia, Sciuridae.